Prionailurus viverrinus (fishing cat) is the source of this 2533-nucleotide long non-coding RNA. RefSeq lists it as uncharacterized. The record is from RefSeq and is a predicted model, not a curated record. Lineage: Eukaryota; Metazoa; Chordata; Mammalia; Carnivora; Felidae. The transcript is spliced from 4 exons.
UUCGCGCAUAGGAACCAUAGAGUCCUGGCCAGAGUGGGUGGACGCUCUGUCACACUUCCGGACCAUAGAUGCAGCGGCUUUGUGCGCCUGCGUGCGGGCGGGGCUCCGCUCCAGAGCUGAACCGGGACCCAGCUGAGCGUUCAAAUGCGGGCGGCCAGCUAGCCAAUCUGGCCUCGCCACAUCGGCACGAGAAGCCUGUUUCCGGCCGGCCAUCUUGGGUGUAGAACUCUUCCCCGAGGCUUUGCCGUAACUAUGAACGCCACAUACUCCUGGGAUUGAAAGAAGGAAAGUACCCCUGAGUGUGGCUUACUGUGGCUGCUUGCGUGUUCCCGGGGGUCACGGGGCUGGGAUACGCCCCCCCCCCCGAGCCUCCCUCUGAGCUCCAGGACCCCGUGGCACAUGCUGUGCUGGAGCCUAGGUCCACGUCCCUUUGUCGGCGGAGCGGCAGGCUCGCCCCGCCCCCGCACCACCACCCCGCCCCCCGCAUUAACCGAAGAUUCCGGAGCUGCCUUUGCUGUAAGGCAUGCACAGUUUCCCGGUUCGUCGAAGACAAGUGGCAGAGCUGCGCCCUCUCGCUGGAGAAAGGGCAAGGAGAAGCCUCCCUCAUGAUCCAGGGCAUGGCAGACCCCGUGUACACCUUUGGGCCCACCCUGACCAGGCAGAGAAAAGAGACGUUAUGCUCCCCAGGGUGACUUGGAGACAGAGGCGACAACCGCACCAAGGGUGGCAAAGGAGCACUGUCAUUCCUUCUCCGGCUGUGCCCCACUCCUAGCCUUUGAGGGCAGCCUUGCGGUGCAGUUCUGGACGCUUCCGUCCUCCCAGGGCCCAGAUUGUGGCACACCCCCACGCCUCCUCAACACACUCCUUUCCCUGCCCACUGUGUUCCAGCACAUCGAAAGUGUGCCCCUGAGAUGGUUCACAAUAAGCCCCUCAACCCCCCAACAAGAAUAGGAUCCAAGAGAGGUGGGCAGAGUUAGUGCUUGAGUUACCAGCGAUCUCCGUAAAUCCCAGAACUGUCCACACUUCUGGAGGUGGGGACAGGAGAAAGAUUCCCUUCUCCACCUCAUGCCAAGAGAGUCCUGGCAUUGAAACCGAUCAACUACAGGCCACCAGUGAGUCCAAGUUCAGUCAACCAAACAAGCACGGGCCUGUAUUUCUUACCAGCUACAAGUGCUCCACAUUCCGUCAGUAACAUUUAGUAAGUACAUCCCUAUCAUUGAAUCUACCCCAGUGAGUGCCUUAGCUCACCUCCUUAGCCUGGUAGCCUGAGAAUCCAUUCCCACAAAUGUUCAAAUAGGAUUAAUCUGUUAGAUACCAGUUACAUCUGGGAAUUUUUCUUGACACGUGAGCUAUUUCCACAUGGUUCAGACUUAGCCGUGGGGCAUACUGUGACUGCACCCUACAUAUGGGCUGAAUGGUAAGCGGGAUGUUGCACAGGAUCUCAAGGACAACAUGAAUUGCAUUACAAGGGACCAAGCCCACACGAGAUAAUGACACAUUCUUCUAGCGAUGGGACACCAGUCCCUUAGACACGGGGCAGCUACUUGAACCACUAUGGGGGUGCUCAGAGUGGCUGAUGGCAUCCCGACUCUCAGCUUCGACUGAGGCCGAGCAGACGUCCCAGUUCCAGGUUUCCGGGCCACACUCCUCCAACCACGGCCACACCUUUCACACGAGAAACACAGAGAGGCUGGGAAUUCAGUGGACUUUGGGAUUCUGUAACCCGCACCGAUAAACUUGUGUUUAAUUUUCACCACGAGGAACCCUUGCAGUCUUCAGAGCCGUCGUUACCGCCGUGACAGUACAGCAGCCACGCCGGCUCCUCAGGGCUUCCCGCAGGUGGCCCUUCAUCCCGGUUCACUGCGGGUGACAGCCUGAUGAAGGAAGAGGUCCCCGCAGACCACGGGUGCUACGUACGCGCCCAGUUCCCAUUGGCAGGGAGCCCGAGCCCUGCCCUGGGGCCCAAGGGCGCGACCACACCCAUCCCCACAUCCCCACUUGGCGGGCCCCUCUUCUGAGACCACUCCCAGGUCCGACUCUGUAGCAGUCGGGCAGGAGAAGGAGACGAGAAAUAGACACGGUUUCUCAGCAGACGAAAUCGAAUACGAGCAUUUGGUGGCUCAGGGCCCGGAGGGCUGAAGAAACAGAUCGUAUGGCAGAAAGCUGCCGUCCCUAAGGCGAGGGGAAGCGGGGAAGAGGUCGGGCUGAGCAGACACCUAGACGCCAGGAUGAGGGGCCUGGAAGAGGCAGAGCCUGGAUCUCUGAGGAGGGGCUGCCACAAUUUCUCAGGGAAGGCGGAAGCAACCUUAUCCACCACGAGGGGAUAUGGGGCAGGAGAUGAUUUCUGAGGACCAUCUUCCAGGCCAUUGAAGACUUGGGGAGGUGGAGUAGCUUUCUAUCACAAUAACGCAAACAACGCGUAGAUAUCCACGAGCGCCGCUCUCUGAUCUCCUGAGAAAUCAAAGGUAAUGCCAGUCUGGGUUUUGAAGUCCCCCCCGCCCCGCCCCACCCCAGUUAAGCACAAGAGGGGAAG